CCUACGGGUGGCAGCAGUGGGGGAUAUUGCACAAUGGGGGAAACCCUGAUGCAGCGACGCCGCGUGGGUGAAGAAGUAUUUCGGUAUGUAAAGCCCUAUCAGCAGGGAAGAAAGAAGACGGUACCUGACUAAGAAGCCCCGGCUAACUACGUGCCAGCAGCCGCGGUAAUACGUAGGGGGCGAGCGUUAUCCGGAUUCACUGGGUGUAAAGGGAGCGUAGACGGCCGUGCAAGCCAGGAGUGAAAGCCCGGGGCCCAACCCCGGGACUGCUCGUGGAACUGUGCGGCUGGAGUGCGGGAGGGGCAGGCGGAAUUCCUGGUGUAGCGGUGAAAUGCGUAGAUAUCAGGAGGAACACCGGCGGCGAAGGCGGCCUGCUGGACCGCGACUGACGUUGAGGCUCGAAAGCGUGGGGAGCGAACAGGAUUAGAUACCCGUGUAGUC
RNAcentral lists this ribosomal RNA (441 nucleotides) under uncultured bacterium. RNAcentral describes it as "partial 16S ribosomal RNA". It matches the Rfam family "Bacterial small subunit ribosomal RNA", at positions 338 to 795 of the family's 1533-position model. The record is from RNAcentral.